RNAcentral lists this transfer RNA (68 nucleotides) under Marmota monax (woodchuck). RNAcentral's name for it is "tRNA.Undet". Lineage: Eukaryota; Metazoa; Chordata; Mammalia; Rodentia; Sciuridae. The record is from RNAcentral.
GGAGUUGUGGCUCAGUGGUAGAGUGCUCGCUAGUAUGUGUGAGGCACUGGAUUCGAUCCUCAGCACCA